This is a long non-coding RNA of Dreissena polymorpha, 536 nucleotides long. RefSeq lists it as uncharacterized. The record is from RefSeq and is a predicted model, not a curated record. The transcript has 3 exons. NCBI's taxonomy places the organism in Eukaryota, Metazoa, Mollusca, Bivalvia, Myida, Dreissenidae.
GUUGAUAAAGAAGUAUGCAAAAUAUAAAAGCAAUAUGUCAAGAGACAUGUAUUUGAGCUGGUACGCAGACUUUAACAUUCCAACGCUCACGGGAACGCCGACGCCGGGGUACAAUAGAGCACUGACAAAAACAAGAGUGCUGAUUGAACAGACCUUCGGCGUUCUGAAGCGUAGAUUUGCCUGUCUCAGCUAUGGUUUGAGGGUGGACGAGGUGAAGGCCAGCCGCAUCGCCAUUGCGUGUGCUUUGUUACAUAACAUAGGCAUUCAAAGACAGGAUGUGUAUGCGAGAGGGACGCCGCCAUCUGACGACCACCCAAUGAAUGUUACCGAGGCUAACAACAAGAGCGGGGCACACUACAGAGAUUACAUAUGUGCGACCUACUUUCGAGAUUAGGAUUAUCAAAGCACUGCACAAAUCAGUCGACAGUGGUGCCUUUGAAUGGACAACUGUCUGGGGAUCUGGAUACAAAUUGAAUUGUUAUGUUAUUACAAAUUUUGAAUGUUAUUAUUUGCGAGUAUGUUUGUCCUCAAAUGCC